UCCAUCGUGAGGUGGAAUCUGAAGGAAGCUGGAUGUUGGGAACAUACUAACCAACGGGCAAAUCUCUGGUCUGACGAACAGAAAUCACAUGAGGCCAUGCAUGAGGGUAAGACUGCCAUACAAGUUGAAGCCCAAUAACCACACGGAAUCAUGCAUGGUAGAUGUGGCAGAUGGAUGGAGAGAAAGAAACGUGU
RNAcentral lists this non-coding RNA (194 nucleotides) under Lachnospiraceae bacterium NLAE-zl-G231. Lineage: Bacteria; Bacillati; Bacillota; Clostridia; Lachnospirales; Lachnospiraceae. The record is from RNAcentral.